GUGGGGAAUAUUGGACAAUGGGCGCAAGCCUGAUCCAGCCAUGCCGCGUGUGUGAAGAAGGCCUUUUGGUUGUAAAGCACUUUAAGCGAGGAGGAGGCUACUUGGAUUAAUACUCUAGGAUAGUGGACGUUACUCGCAGAAUAAGCACCGGCUAACUCUGUGUCAGCAGCCGCGGUAAUACAGAGGGUGCGAGCGUUAAUCGGAUUUACUGGGCGUAAAGCGUGCGUAGGCGGCUUCUUAAGUCGGAUGUGAAAUCCCUGAGCUUAACUUAGGAAUUGCAUUCGAUACCGGGAAGCUAGAGUAUGGGAGAGGAUGGUAGAAUUCCAGGUGUAGCGGUGAAAUGCGUAGAGAUCUGGAGGAAUACCGAUGGCGAAGGCAGCCAUCUGGCCUAAUACUGACGCUGAGGUACGAAAGCAUGGGGAGCAAACAGGAUUAGAAACCCGGGUAGUCC
RNAcentral lists this ribosomal RNA (451 nucleotides) under uncultured bacterium. RNAcentral's name for it is "partial 16S ribosomal RNA". It matches the Rfam family "Bacterial small subunit ribosomal RNA", at positions 354 to 796 of the family's 1533-position model. The record is from RNAcentral.